GAUGAACGCUGGCGGCGUGCCUAAUACAUGCCAGUCGAGCGAACAGACGAGGAGCUUGCUCCUCUGACGUUAGCGGCGGACGGGUGAGUAACACGUGGAUAACCUACCUAUAAGACUGGGAUAACUUCGGGAAACCGGAGCUAAUACCGGAUAAUAUAUUGAACCGCAUGGUUCAAUAGUGAAAGACGGUUUUGCUGUCACUUAUAGAUGGAUCCGCGCCGCAUUAGCUAGUUGGUAAGGUAACGGCUUACCAAGGCAACGAUGCGUAGCCGACCUGAGAGGGUGAUCGGCCACACUGGAACUGAGACACGGUCCAGACUCCUACGGGAGGCAGCAGUAGGGAAUCUUCCGCAAUGGGCGAAAGCCUGACGGAGCAACGCCGCGUGAGCGAUGAAGGUCUUCGGAUCGUAAAACGCUGUUAUUAGGGAAGAACAAAUGUGUAAGUAACUAUGCACGUCUGGACGGUACCUAAUCAGAAAGCCACGGCUAACUACGU
RNAcentral lists this ribosomal RNA (496 nucleotides) under uncultured bacterium. RNAcentral describes it as "partial 16S ribosomal RNA". It matches the Rfam family "Bacterial small subunit ribosomal RNA", at positions 28 to 506 of the family's 1533-position model. The record is from RNAcentral.